Mustela erminea (ermine) is the source of this 1599-nucleotide long non-coding RNA. RefSeq lists it as uncharacterized. The record is from RefSeq and is a predicted model, not a curated record. The transcript is spliced from 4 exons. NCBI's taxonomy places the organism in Eukaryota, Metazoa, Chordata, Mammalia, Carnivora, Mustelidae.
UUAACAAGAAGGAGGUAAAUACAUUUAAACAUGCAGACUUAGGCUUUACUCAAAUAAUAACUGGCUUAUGUCCUCUUGGUUUUCAAGAAAUCUUGUUCAUUUACCAAAACAGGGUCCUUGGGAAGGGUGAAAGAAAAAUUAAAUGAGGAAUGAAUGAAUGAAUGAAUGCAUAUCAUAAGUGGUAGUUGAGUUUCGUGUUAUUAAGUAGGCUUCUCAUACUACUCUAAGUGGAAAGACAAGAAGAGGAAAGAAAAGUACAUAUUCCACUCUUUGGAGAUGGUGAGCUGGAUUUUUCACAAGGACCAUCCUCGCACCUGAAGAAUGUGGGAAUGAUGAGCCCUGCUGGAAUCUAAACCAAUCUGCCCUUCACUUCAGACUCCCAAAUGCUUGCUCCACAGCAUGAUGCCUUGUUGGGAUUGAGGUGGUUUUUUGUAUAUUUUUUUUCCCCUCUUUUUUUUUUCAAGAGUCGGGUUUUGGCACCAUUUCUGUCGGUUGCACUGGAACAUAAGAGGAGAGUAGCUACAGGGAGGACAUGGUCUAGCCUCCUACUGCUCCUUCAUCCUGGGUCCUAAAAUAGAAAGACAUGACAUAGUCCUGAAGCCAACUUGGUGCAAUGCUGCUGCAAGGUUGACCUACAAACCCGCAGGCGAGGAUACAGAUCUUGGUCAGCUCUGUCCAAGCGGUGGCUCAAGGACCCAGCUCUCCCACGUUGUGGCCCCGUCAUUAUGGAACUUUUAAUUCCCAGCUGUGUGGACAGGGGAGUGUGGAGAAUCUUGGGAGAUUUUCGAGACCAGGCUUAGAGGGCCAUAUACCAUUUUCCCUAUAUUUUACUGGCUGCAGGGCUAUUCCUGACUGCAAAAAAAGGCAAGAAAAUGUAAAAGGAAAGGAAGAAGUGAACACUCAGCCAGUAUUCGGUGCACUGUGUAACUGCAGAUGGCGACUAGUGCUGUGGAAGGCAAGCACAAGGCACAACGAAAGGGUGCAAUGGGAAACUUCACCCACAUGGCAUCCCGCAUCCAUUCCUCCUUCUGAAAGGAACGGAUUCAUUGCCUGAGAAGGGAAUGACCCUCCAUCGUGUGCAGUUUUCACGGAGCUAUCAUUCAUGUUCUCUCUCCAUUCAAGCAGGAGAACCUGACCGGCUCCACACCAUUCCUAUGAGGCUCGUGCAACAGUACGAGCUGCGCUCAUCGGAUUCUCUCCCUGGAACUUAACCUCAACUGGAAAGACACGAAAGACAAGGGAAGGCAGGAUCUCAUUCUCUGCCAUGAAAGCACGAUAAAUAGCGUAAACAUCAGUUCUUGUCACUUGGAUCUGUGUGUUCCUGCUCCCUAUCCUUCCCGAGCCUAUUCAUGGGUUUUCCUCUCAGUCUCUGCAGGUUCUCAUGUUGUUCCAGUUCAUUCGCUUUCUUCCUGCAUUAACCACUUGGUUUCUGUGCUUGUACCAAAGAACUAAUUGACACAGGGGUAUGAUUUAGGUUGUGAGGUUCAGUGUCUCUCUAAGGAACAGCAUUUUUGCUGACACCUGAAGCGUAAGUUAGGGUUAAGUAGGCAAAAAGUGGGGAAAAAAAUUUUUUUAAUUUAAAUUCAAUUAAUUAACAUA